This 84-nucleotide transfer RNA is filed under the name Candidatus Woesearchaeota archaeon. RNAcentral describes it as "tRNA-Leu". It matches the Rfam family "tRNA". Rfam says of the family: Transfer RNA (tRNA) molecules are approximately 80 nucleotides in length. Their secondary structure includes four short double-helical elements and three loops (D, anti-codon, and T loops). Lineage: Archaea; Nanobdellati; Candidatus Woesearchaeota. The record is from RNAcentral.
GCGGCGUUGCCGGAGUGGUCAAACGGGGUAGACUCAAGAUCUAUUGGCUUAGUGCCUACGCAGGUUCGAGUCCUGUGCGCCGCA